AGUGAACGCUGGCGGUAGGCCUAACACAUGCAAGUCGAACGGCAGCACAGUAAGAGCUUGCUCUUACGGGUGGCGAGUGGCGGACGGGUGAGGAAUACAUCGGAAUCUACUUUUUCGUGGGGGAUAACGUAGGGAAACUUACGCUAAUACCGCAUACGACCUACGGGUGAAAGCAGGGGAUCUUCGGACCUUGCGCGAUUGAAUGAGCCGAUGUCGGAUUAGCUAGUUGGCGGGGUAAAGGCCCACCAAGGCGACGAUCCGUAGCUGGUCUGAGAGGAUGAUCAGCCACACUGGAACUGAGACACGGUCCAGACUCCUACGGGAGGCAGCAGUGGGGAAUAUUAGACAAUGGGCGCAAGCCUGAUCCAGCCAUACCGCGUGGGUGAAGAAGGCCUUCUGGUUGUAAAGCCCUUUUGUUGGGAAAGAAAAGCAGCACGUUAAUACCCCGCUGUUCUGACGGUACCCAAAGAAUAAGCACCGGCUAACUUCGUG
RNAcentral lists this ribosomal RNA (492 nucleotides) under uncultured bacterium. Its description in RNAcentral is "partial 16S ribosomal RNA". It matches the Rfam family "Bacterial small subunit ribosomal RNA", at positions 29 to 507 of the family's 1533-position model. The record is from RNAcentral.